This 1631-nucleotide long non-coding RNA is filed under the name Gossypium barbadense (sea-island cotton). RNAcentral's name for it is "long non-coding RNA (GBAR_LNC014916)". The record is from RNAcentral. Lineage: Eukaryota; Viridiplantae; Streptophyta; Magnoliopsida; Malvales; Malvaceae.
GAAUAUUAAAUAAAAAGGAAAGGAAUCAUAAAAUAAAACCCUAGGAUGCAAAAAAGUGUAUACCAACAUUAACCACAUAAGAAAAAGAACCUAGGUCUAGCAGCCUCAUUUCUUUUAAGAAAAACUCUCUGAAAUGUUCAGUGAGAGUUUUUGUUCGUUCGUUCGCAACAGGGUGGACUACAUAGAGACCGGGACGAUUCUGUUGUGGCUUUAGAUCGGCAAUGUACGAAGGGGAUUAAAACAACAGUGGUUCCUUCCUAUUUUUUAGAGUACAAAAGGUAUAUUUUUCAAACCUUUUCUUCUUGGUUUGUUCCUCGUGUAUGGAUUCCUAGUUUAGAUCGCCGGAAUAAUUUUUUCGUUGCGCCACGGGGUGUCCCAAUGACCCAACAUUAUAAUAUGUGAAUAUCUGUCAAUAAGAUAAGACAUAGAAUAAUUUUGUGAGAUCUGUAAUAAGUAAGACUGAGAUAAAGUGUUGAUAUGCUUAGGAUUAAGAGUUGAACAAGACUUGUGAUAUAAUCGAAUAAGUUAUUGAAAAGAAUUGUGUAUAUGCAUGACAAUAAAGGUCUUCACCAUGAUGAUUUGAAAAUGUUGGAUAUAUAUUUGAUUCUAUGUGAGAUUUAAGGAUCUGUCAUUGAGAGUUACUUGGAAUCUAUCAUAUCAAGGUAGUCUAGGAAUUAAUGAUCUCUCGUGAAAUCAUAUGAAAUCUGGGAUCUGGGUAUUCUGGGUAUCUGUAUUUUUGAAAGAAAUUGAUAUAGAACUCAUUUGAAUGGUUUAUGCAGUGAUUUAUCUAUAUGAGUAUGUCGUACUGAAUCUGGAUAUGUCAAAGUGUGAAAUUGAUGGUAUUUAGUUCUAUGUAAGUAUUCGCCAAACAUAUAUGUAUCUGCCCCUAAUAAAUGUUUGUGACCAAUUGUUUGAGAUAAGUGUUUGUGUUCAAGCAUGGGUUGUUAAAAGUGGACUCUAAGGAUAUGUUCUGUUGAGAAAUAUAUGUGUGUUAAAGAGACGUAAGAAAAUGUUUGAAAUGAUCGACAAUUAGUUAGAUAAGGAAGAUAUGAGUAUGAUAAGGGCAUGAUAAUUGGUGUAUAAGUGUAUGUUAAAAAUGUAGUGAUAUCCACCAGAAAUAAAUGGUUCAAAAGAAUGGUCGGCGCGCAAUAAUUCAUACAAGAAUAGAAAAUAUCCAUUAAGAUAUCUUUGUAAUUAAGCUCACUAAGUUCUCUUGAACUUACAAUGUUUGUUAUUGUUUUAGGUGUAUGGUAUGGGUUUGCGCCAAGAGGGACGAUGCCAGGUGUAUGCCAAGAUUGUGGCAAAGUGGGCUAUUAUGCAUAGAGUGGAUAUGUGUUGUAGUCUGUCGUCAUUAAUUCUUUGUUGUAAACUUAUUUAUCAAUUUUAUUGUAACAAGUUAUUGCAUAGCACCUCCUUUAUUUUCAUGUCACUGUUGUUAAUUAAAAUAAUCAGAGAAAUGAUAGUUUGUAAAUUGUUUGUUAAAUUGUUAAGUAUUGUGUGUAGUAAUACCCGAGAUCCGGACCCAAUGAAUCGGGUUAGGUUGAGGGCGUUACAUUCUCAUUGGGGUAAGUCAUUUCGGUUUUUUAGCAAUCUGAAAAUCUAAAGAUAAAAAAUUUGUCCAUGUUCACCGC